ACUUCUGAGACUCAAGAGAAGAGCCGGAAACAGUGCAGUCCCAGGGUGGUCAGUCUCCAGAGUCUCCUGCAUGGAGCAGAGCAGUCUGGGAAGGAGCAGGGACAGGACAGCUCCCAGGGGUCGCCUCAGAAACUGCUGUCCUCAGGAGACCACACCCAUGCACAGAUGGGAGAAGAAUUAGCAUUCUCUCCUGAAGAGUUUUCGUGGAAGAGAGGACACUGGUGGUGCGAGAGGGAAAGCAAAUUGCAAGAAGGAGAUAAAAUCCAGGGCGCAGUGAAAAAGCAGCAAGAUCAUGGGUCAUAAAUAUGGGAAGAGGGCCCUGGAUAUUUGCAGAAGGAGGCAAAUGAGAGAAAGAACCCUCUCCCAUGGAGGGGGAAGCAAGCAGACCAGAAAAAUGUGUCAGCAUCACGCAUCCACACUGGCCGAUCACGUUUUCCCAAGAUGGGAACAUCUCCCACCCCACAAGUUCUUCUAGAACCUUCUAUGCCUCCACUAAGAAAUGGAGUCUAAUUCUCCUCCACUUGAACCUGGGCGGGUUUGUGACUCACUCAUUACUGAUGGAAUGGGUGGAAACAGCAGUACAACCCUUCUGAAGCUACAUGAGAAGAGCUUCUGUCUUGUAGGAUAUCCAUGCAGGAGCCCUGAGCUGGGGCCAUACUGUGAGGAAGCCCAAGCUAGCCCAUGAAGAGAGAACCUGGAGAGUCUCUAAGUCCAUGGAGGGAGAGGGAUGCCAGUCAGGGCUCAGAUGUUCCAGCCUCAGCCACUCAGUGAGACCCUG
Molecule: non-coding RNA, 778 nt
Organism: Odocoileus virginianus texanus
Lineage: Eukaryota; Metazoa; Chordata; Mammalia; Artiodactyla; Cervidae
Source: RefSeq, a predicted model, not a curated record